GAAGGCCCAGACAGCCAGGAGGUUGGCUUAGAAGCAGCCACCCUUUAAAGAAAGCGUAAUAGCUCACUGGUCGAGUCGGCCUGCGCGGAAGAUGUACCGGGGCUAAGUUGUGUACCGAAGCUGCGGAUGCAAGCUUGCUUGCAUGGUAGGGGAGCGUUCUGUAGGCCUGCGAAGGUGUGCCGUGAGGCAUGCUGGAGGUAUCAGAAGUGCGAAUGCUGACGUGAGUAACGAUAAAGGGGGUGAAAGACCCCCUCGCCGGAAGUCCAAGGUUUCCUGCGCCAUGCUAAUCAGCGCAGGGUUAGUCGACCCCUAAGGCGAGGCCGAAAGGCGUAGUCGAUGGGAAGCAGGUUAAUAUUCCUGCACCGCGUUUAAUUGCGAUGGGGGGACGGAGAAGGCUAGACCAGCCGGGCGUUGGUUGUCCCGGUUUAAGCGAGUAGGGAGCAUCCUUAGGUAAAUCCGGGGGUGCAAUUCUGAGACGUGAUGACGAAGUUUCAUUUGAAACUGAAGUGGUUGAUGCCAUGCUUCCAGGAAAAUCCUCUAAGCUUCAGAUUAAACGUGUCCGUACCCCAAACCGACACAGGUGGACAGGGCGAGAAGCCCAAGGCGCUUGAGACAACUCGGGUGAAGGAACUCGGCAAAAUGACACCGUAACUUCGGGAGAAGGUGUACCCUCAUUACGUGAAGGCCCUCGCGGCCGGAGCGGAAGGGGGUUGCAACAAAGAGGUGGCUGCGACUGUUUAUUAAAAACACAGCACUCUGCAAACUCGUAAGAGGACGUAUAGGGUGUGACGCCUGCCCGGUGCCGGAAGGUUAAUUGAUGGGGUUAGUCUUCGGACGAAGCUCUUGAUCGAAGCCCCGGUGAACGGCGGCCGUAACUAUAACGGUCCUAAGGUAGCGAAAUUCCUUGUCGGGUAAGUUCCGACCUGCACGAAUGGCGUAACGAUGGCCACACUGUCUCCACCCGGGACUCAGUGAAAUCGAAAUUGCUGUGAAGAUGCAGUGUACCCGCACCAAGACGGAAAGACCCCGUGCACCUUUACUACAGCUUCACGCUGGACUUUGAACAUGUUUGUGUAGGAUAGGUGGGAGGCUUUGAAGCUGGGACGCUAGUUCUGGUGGAGCCAACCUUGAAAUACCACCCUGGCAUGUUUGGGGCCCUAACCGAGAUCCGUUAUCCGGGUCCGGGACCGCGUGUGGUGGGUAGUUUGACUGGGGCGGUCUCCUCCCAAAGAGUAACGGAGGAGCGCGAAGGUACUCUAAGCGCGGUCGGAAAUCGCGCGGUUAGUGCAAAGGCAUAAGAGUGCUUGACUGCGAGACUGACAAGUCGAGCAGGUGGGAAACCAGGUCUUAGUGAUCCGGUGGUUCUGUAUGGAAGGGCCAUCGCUCAACGGAUAAAAGGUACGCCGGGGAUAACAGGCUGAUACCCCCCAAGAGUUCACAUCGACGGGGGUGUUUGGCACCUCG
Molecule: ribosomal RNA, 1464 nt
Filed under: marine metagenome
Description: bacterial LSU rRNA
Rfam family: Bacterial large subunit ribosomal RNA
Source: RNAcentral